GACGAACGCUGGCGGCGUGCUUAACACAUGCAAGUCGAACGGUGAACGAGGGAGCUUGCUCCCUCCGGAUCAGUGGCGAACGGGUGAGUAACACGUGAGCAAUCUGCCCCGAACUCUGGGAUAAGCGUUGGAAACGACGUCUAAUACCGGAUACGACGCGGGAGGGCAUCCUCUCCGCGUGGAAAGAACUUCGGUUCGGGAUGAGCUCGCGGCCUAUCAGCUUGUUGGUGAGGUAACGGCUCACCAAGGCGACGACGGGUAGCCAGCCUGAGAGGGUGACCGGCCACACUGGGACUGAGACACGGCCCAGACUCCUACGGGAGGCAGCAGUGGGGAAUAUUGCACAAUGGGCGCAAGCCUGAUGCAGCAACGCCGCGUGAGGGACGACGGCCUUCGGGUUGUAAACCUCUUUUAGCAGGGAAGAAGCGAAAGUGAUGGUACCUGCAGAAAAAGCACCGGCUAACUACGUG
This 470-nucleotide ribosomal RNA is filed under the name uncultured bacterium. RNAcentral describes it as "partial 16S ribosomal RNA". It matches the Rfam family "Bacterial small subunit ribosomal RNA", at positions 28 to 507 of the family's 1533-position model. The record is from RNAcentral.